AUGCUUACCUGGCAGGGGAGAGCCCAUGAUCAUGAAGCUGUUUUUCCCAGGGCAGGGCACACCCAUUAUACUCCAGAUGAGCUGACCACGUGAUUUCCCCAAAUGUUGGAAACUUGACUCUAGAAAC
This 127-nucleotide small nuclear RNA is filed under the name Cricetulus griseus (Chinese hamster). Its description in RNAcentral is "U1 spliceosomal RNA (ENSCGRG00015028769.2)". It matches the Rfam family "U1 spliceosomal RNA". Rfam says of the family: U1 is a small nuclear RNA (snRNA) component of the spliceosome (involved in pre-mRNA splicing). Its 5' end forms complementary base pairs with the 5' splice junction, thus defining the 5' donor site of an intron. The record is from RNAcentral. Lineage: Eukaryota; Metazoa; Chordata; Mammalia; Rodentia; Cricetidae.